AUGCACGCUGGCGGCGUGCCUCAUCCCUGCCAGUCGAGCGAACAGACGAGGAGCUUGCUCCUCUGACGUUAGCGGCGGACGGGUGAGUAACACGUGGAUAACCUACCUAUAAGACUGGGAUAACUUCGGGAAACCGGAGCUAAUACCGGAUAAUAUAUUGAACCGCAUGGUUCAAUAGUGAAAGACGGUUUUGCUGUCACUUAUAGUUGGAUCCGCGCCGCAUUAGCUAGUUGGUAAGGUAACGGCUUACCAAGGCAACGAUGCGUAGCCGACCUGAGAGGGUGAUCGGCCACACUGGAACUGAGACACGGUCCAGACUCCUACGGGAGGCAGCAGUAGGGAAUCUUCCGCAAUGGGCGAAAGCUUGACGGAGCAACGCCGCGUGAGUGAUGAAGGUCUUCGGAUCGUAAAACUCUGUUAUUAGGGAAGAACAAAUGUGUAAGUAACUAUGCACGUCUUGACGGUACCUAAUCAGAAAGCCACGGCUAACUACGUG
Molecule: ribosomal RNA, 496 nt
Filed under: uncultured bacterium
Lineage: Bacteria
Description: partial 16S ribosomal RNA
Rfam family: Bacterial small subunit ribosomal RNA
Source: RNAcentral